Molecule: non-coding RNA, 45 nt
Filed under: Trichobilharzia regenti
Lineage: Eukaryota; Metazoa; Platyhelminthes; Trematoda; Strigeidida; Schistosomatidae
Source: RNAcentral
AUCCAGCUGGUGAGUCCCAAAUAGGAUGAAAUGCUCAUCCUGGAU